GUUCCCAUGUUUGAGGAAGCAUUUGGUGUUGCUGUGCAAAGUGUUGCUGCAGUGGAGGUUCAAGGUUACUGUUUAUUGAUAUGGAUCCCAUCAUACUUUGUUCAUUGUUUGUUCAGGAGUUUGCCCUAAGUCUCCGUGUUUGAGGGCCUAUUCUGUGGAUAUGUUUAUUUGCACUUUUAUUGAUG
This is a long non-coding RNA of Corythoichthys intestinalis (scribbled pipefish), 185 nucleotides long. RefSeq lists it as uncharacterized. NCBI's taxonomy places the organism in Eukaryota, Metazoa, Chordata, Actinopteri, Syngnathiformes, Syngnathidae. The transcript is spliced from 3 exons. The record is from RefSeq and is a predicted model, not a curated record.